This 1409-nucleotide ribosomal RNA is filed under the name uncultured prokaryote. Its description in RNAcentral is "partial 16S ribosomal RNA". It matches the Rfam family "Bacterial small subunit ribosomal RNA". The record is from RNAcentral.
GCUUAACACAUGCAAGUCGAGCGGAAACGAAGAUAGCUUGCUAUCAGGCGUCUAGCGGCGGACGGGGGAGUAAAGCGUAGGAAUCUACCUAGUAGUGGGGGAUAGCCCAGAGAAAUUUGGAUUAAUACCGCAAACGCCCUAUGGGGGAAAGGCUUGUGGACCUUUCGCUAUUAGAUGAGCCUGCGUGAGAUUAGCUAGUUGGUGAGGUAAAGGCUCACCAAGGCGACGAUCUCUAGCUGGUCUGAGAGGAUGAUCAGCCACACUGGGACUGAGACACGGCCCAGACUCCUACGGGAGGCAGCAGUGGGGAAUAUUGGACAAUGGGGGCAACCCUGAUCCAGCCAUGCCGCGUGUGUGAAGAAGGCCUUCGGGUUGUAAAGCACUUUCAGCGAGGAGGAAGGGGUGUUGCUUAAUACGCGACACUCUUGACGUUACUCGCAGAAGAAGGACCGGCUAACUCCGUGCCAGCAGCCGCGGUAAUACGGAGGGUCCGAGCGUUAAUCGGAAUUACUGGGCGUAAAGCGCGCGUAGGCGGUUAGAUCAGUCAACUGUGAAAGCCCUGGGCUCAACCUGGGAACUGCAGCUGAUACUGUCUGACUAGAGUUUGGUAGAGGAGUGUGGAAUUUCCUGUGUAGCGGUGAAAUGCGUAGAGAUCUGAAGGAAUACCAGUGGCGAAGGCGGCCCCCUGGAUUGAUACUGACACUGAGGUGCGAAAGCGUGGGUAGCAAACAGGAUUAGAUACCCUGGUAGUCCAUGCCGUAAACGAUGUCAACUACCGUUGGAAGACUUGAUCUUUUGGUGGCGCAGCUAACGCAAUAAGUUGACCGCCUGGGGAGUACGGCCGCAAGGUUAAAACUCAAAUGAAUUGACGGGGGCCCGCACAAGCGGUGGAGCAUGUGGUUUAAUUCGAAGCAACGCGAAGAACCUUACCUACUCUUGACAUCCUCAGAACUUAGCAGAGAUGCUUUGGUGCCUUCGGGAACUGAGUGACAGGUGCUGCAUGGCUGUCGUCAGCUCGUGUUGUGAAAUGUUGGGUUAAGUCCCGUAACGAGCGCAACCCUUGUCCUUAGUUGCCGCACGUAAUGGUGGGAACUUUAAGGAGACUGCCGGUGACAAACCGGAGGAAGGUGGGGACGACGUCAAGUCAUCAUGGCCCUUACGACCUGGGCUACACACGUGCUACAAUGGCCGGUACAGAGGGUUGCCAAGCCGCGAGGUGGAGCUAAUCCCAGAAAGCCGGUCGUAGUUCGGAUUGGAGUCUGCAACUCGACUCCAUGAAGCCGGAAUCGCUAGUAAUCGCGAAUCAGAAUGUCGCGGUGAAUACGUUCCCGGGCCUUGUACACACCGCCCGUCACACCAUGGGAGUGGGUUGCAAAAGAAGUGGGUAGACGAAAAAUGGGCGCUCAUCG